Acanthoscelides obtectus is the source of this 71-nucleotide non-coding RNA. NCBI's taxonomy places the organism in Eukaryota, Metazoa, Arthropoda, Insecta, Coleoptera, Chrysomelidae. The record is from the annotation of a GenBank genome assembly.
UCAGGAUAGCCGAGUGGUUAACGCGUCGGGCUACCAACCCGAGGUUCCCGGUUUCGAUCUCCGCGUCGGAA